RNAcentral lists this long non-coding RNA (413 nucleotides) under Rhinopithecus bieti (black snub-nosed monkey). RNAcentral describes it as "lncRNA (ENSRBIG00000046634.1)". The record is from RNAcentral. Lineage: Eukaryota; Metazoa; Chordata; Mammalia; Primates; Cercopithecidae.
AUGCAGUUUUCCAAGAGCCAUUUGAUCUCCAAGAUGUUAUGUGAGUGUCUUUUGUAUUUUAUUUUUUCCCUUAGAAAAGAAAAGCUGAUGGUUUGCCAAAAGAAAAUGAACUCCAAACUCUCGGGGUCUGAACUGGGUUCAAGCAUCAGAUCCAGGGAAGCUCAGGGGUUGCUGUUGAGUCAGGGGCCUCAAAUGUUCUCUGCACAAGCCAGAAGACCAACGGUCCAGGAGAAGGUCAAGAAAGAGAGAGGACCUGGGGUAAACAACAGGAUUGCUCCAGGAAACGGGAGGACAUCAGCCCCCAGAGAGGAAACAUCACAGGCAGUUGCUGUCAGACAAGAGGGGUAAGCAGAAAGCCCUUUUGGCACAGGGGAGGCACAGCCCCUCCUUCAGAAGGCCCAGAUGGGAGUGGC